GACAGAGGGUGCAAACGUUGUUCGGAAUUACUGGGCGUAAAGCGUGUGUAGGCGGUCUCAUAAGUCGGAUGUGAAAGCCCCGGGCUCAACCCGGGAAGUGCAUUCGAAACUGCGAGGCUAGAGUAUCGGAGAGGUUGGUGGAAUUCUCGGUGUAGAGGUGAAAUUCGUAGAUAUCGAGAGGAACACCGGUGGCGAAGGCGGCCAACUGGACGAAUACUGACGCUGAGACACGAAAGCGUGGGAGCAAACAGG
RNAcentral lists this ribosomal RNA (252 nucleotides) under uncultured bacterium. RNAcentral's name for it is "partial 16S ribosomal RNA". It matches the Rfam family "Bacterial small subunit ribosomal RNA", at positions 524 to 776 of the family's 1533-position model. The record is from RNAcentral.